AAAUUGAAGAGUUUGAUCAUGGCUCAGAUUGAACGCUGGCGGCAGGCCUAACACAUGCAAGUCGAACGGUAACAGGAAGCAGCUUGCUGCUUUGCUGACAAGUGGCGGACGGGUGAGUAAUGUCUGGGAAACUGCCUGAUGGAGGGGGAUAACUACUGGAAACGGUAGCUAAUACCGCAUAACGUCGCAAGACCAAAGAGGGGGACCUUCGGGCCUCUUGCCAUUGGAUGUGCCCAGAUGGGAUUAGCUAGUAGGUGGGGUAACGGCUCACCUAGGCGACGAUCCCUAGCUGGUCUGAGAGGAUGACC
RNAcentral lists this ribosomal RNA (308 nucleotides) under Escherichia coli. RNAcentral's name for it is "bacterial SSU rRNA". It matches the Rfam family "Bacterial small subunit ribosomal RNA", at positions 1 to 305 of the family's 1533-position model. The record is from RNAcentral. Lineage: Bacteria; Pseudomonadati; Pseudomonadota; Gammaproteobacteria; Enterobacterales; Enterobacteriaceae.